GGUUCCGUAGUGUAGUGGUUAUCACGUUUGCUGUACACGCAAAAGGUCCCCGGUUCGAUCCCGGGCGGAACCA
This 73-nucleotide transfer RNA is filed under the name Stegodyphus dumicola. RNAcentral's name for it is "tRNA-Val". It matches the Rfam family "tRNA". From Rfam's summary of the family: Transfer RNA (tRNA) molecules are approximately 80 nucleotides in length. Their secondary structure includes four short double-helical elements and three loops (D, anti-codon, and T loops). Further hydrogen bonds mediate the characteristic L-shaped molecular structure. tRNAs have two regions of fundamental functional importance: the anti-codon, which is responsible for specific mRNA codon recognition, and the 3' end, to which the tRNAs corresponding amino acid is attached (by aminoacyl-tRNA synthetases). tRNAs cope with the degeneracy of the genetic code in two manners: having more than one tRNA (with a specific anti-codon) for a particular amino acid; and 'wobble' base-pairing, i.e. permitting non-standard base-pairing at the 3rd anti-codon position. Lineage: Eukaryota; Metazoa; Arthropoda; Arachnida; Araneae; Eresidae. The record is from RNAcentral.